This 930-nucleotide long non-coding RNA is filed under the name Pan troglodytes (chimpanzee). RNAcentral describes it as "long non-coding RNA NONPTRT008395". The record is from RNAcentral. Lineage: Eukaryota; Metazoa; Chordata; Mammalia; Primates; Hominidae.
AGACGAGUGCAGUGGUGCGAUCUCGGCUCACUGCAACCUUUGCCUCCUGGGUUCAGGUGAUUCUUCUGCUUCAGCCUCUCAUUAUAGCUGGGAGUACAGGCACCCACCACCACGCCCAGCUAAUUUUUGUAUUUUUCAUAGUGACAGGGUUUCACCAUGUUGGCCAGGCUGGUCUCGAACUCCUGAUCUCAGGUGAUCUGCCCACCUCGGCCUCCCAAAGUGCUGGGAUUACCUACUGGUAGUGCACUGAAUAUCUGUGUGUGUCCUUUUGUGCUGGGGUUCUUUGCGUCUUCAUGGGUAUGUCCAGGUGGGUCUGUGUCCCACUAAGCUGAGUGGGUACCUCUCUUACCCCACUGAAGUGUCUUCCUGGCUACAAUGGUGAUAACUGUGAGGACGACGUGGACGAGUGUGCCUCCCAGCCCUGCCAGCACGGGGGUUCAUGCAUUGACCUCGUGGCCCGCUAUCUCUGCUCCUGUCCCCCAGGAACGCUGGGUGGGUGCUCUGCGAGAUUAAUGAGGAUGACUGCGGCCCAGGCCCACCCCUGGACUCAGGGCCCCGGUGCCUACACAAUGGCACCUGCGUGGACCUGGUGGGCGGUUUCCGCUGCACCUGUCCCCCAGGAUACACUGGUUUGCGCUGCGAGGCAGACAUCAAUGAGUGUCGCUCAGGUGCCUGCCACGCGGCACACACCCGGGACUGCCUGCAGGACCCAGGCGGAGGUUUCCGUUGCCUUUGUCAUGCUGGCUUCUCAGGUCCUCGAUGUCAGACUGUCCUGUCUCCCUGCGAGUCCCAGCCAUGCCAGCAUGGAGGCCAGUGCCGUCCUAGCCCGGGUCCUGGGGGUGGGCUGACCUUCACCUGUCACUGUGCCCAAGUCUUGACCUCUUCUCUUCCCCCUCUCUCCCCUUGACUCUUCUUUUCCCCACUCCUCCA